CCAUAUUUAAGUGGGGCCCACAUGCCGUAUCAUAUCCAUGACCUUUGUCCUUGCGUUGCCGCCGGCGGCGGCGGCUACGGCCAUGGAGAUCUCACGCGACCAUUUGCCGGUGAGGUCGGCUGCUCCGCCUCCGCCUCGGCAUCUACGCCUGAUUGGAUCCCCACCCCUAUCUCCACUGACUGUGCUAUCGCGUUUCCGGCGGUGGUUGAUCGAGGCGGUAGCCCGUGCGGCGCGCGAGAUUCCGCCCGUCCACGGAUUUCCGGUCGCCAUCGCGGGGAUUCGUCUUCUCCGGCCAACCCCUCGCUGCGCGAUCCUGCGCCGCCCGUCCUCGGGCAGGAUCUGGUCGGGGUCGCUUGUGGGGGAUGUUGAGUUGUAAGAAGACCAGAUGCAUCUGCUCUGAUUUUAGUGGCAUGUAUAACUAUAACCUGUCAAAGAGCAGCAAAAGAAAUGCCUCGUAGCUGUGUGAUACAUAACUUUGCCAGGAUAUCUCUCUGUUUAUGCACACAGACUGCUAUGGCAUUUUUAACCGUUUGCUCAGUUGCUCUUACGUGCAUUUCUGCUGGCAUAAGAUGGUGGCAUGGUGGAGGUUCUGUUGUUAAACCCUGGUAUCAGGACUUGAUCGAGCAAUUUGGUAUGUUCGGUGAAAAUUCAUGCUCAUUUGAGUGAUUGUACAGUACUCCGAAGUUGGUGUUUUCUAUGCUCCGGUAAUUGUGGAUCACUGGUAUAAUGAGGAAAUCAACCUAACGUAUAAUUGCCAUGGUCUGUAUUUGUGUGUAUGUGGAGACUGGUGUGUGUACUAAUUUUCUGGAAUGUCAUUUAAUCAGAAGAGUUGUUUAGAAGAGGCAUAGGCAAAUUCUCUUGUAAGGCUUAUGUAGUUCGAGUGUUUAACAUGGUUAUAACAGUAGUGUUUUCUAUGACGACAUUUAUGAUUAAACUGUGUCUACAAUUCCUGCCUUUUGUGCAGAAAAAGAAAA
Oryza sativa Japonica Group (Japanese rice) is the source of this 974-nucleotide long non-coding RNA. RefSeq lists it as uncharacterized. NCBI's taxonomy places the organism in Eukaryota, Viridiplantae, Streptophyta, Magnoliopsida, Poales, Poaceae. The record is from RefSeq and is a predicted model, not a curated record.